RNAcentral lists this ribosomal RNA (403 nucleotides) under uncultured bacterium. RNAcentral's name for it is "partial 16S ribosomal RNA". It matches the Rfam family "Bacterial small subunit ribosomal RNA", at positions 28 to 526 of the family's 1533-position model. The record is from RNAcentral.
GACGAACGCUGGCGGCGUGCCUAAUACAUGCAAGUCGAACGCAGUGGGGACGGGUGAGUAACACGUGGGUAACCUCCCUUCAGAGGGUCUAACACUUGGAAACAGGUGCUAAACCGAUACUGAUGGAUGGACGCGUGGUGCAUUAGCCAGUUGGUGCGGUAACGGCUCACCAAGGCCACGAUGCAUAGCCGACCUGAGAGGGGAAUAGGCCACACUGGGACGGAGACACGGCCCAGACUCGGACGGGAGGCAGCAGUAGGGAAUCUUCGGCAAUGGACGAAAGUCUGACCGAGAAACGCCGCGUGAGUGAAGAAGGUUUUCGGAUCGUAAAACUCUGUUGUUAGAGAAGCGGUAUCUAACCAGAAAGCCACGGCUAACUACGUGCCAGCAGCCGCGGUAAUUC